UACAUGGGGUGCAAACGUUGCUCGGAAUUAUUGGGCGUAAAGCGCACGUAGGCGGUUUGUUAAGUCGGAUGUGAAAUCCCUCGGCUCAACUGAGGAAGUGCAUCCGAAACUGGCAGGCUUGAGUACUAAAGAGGGUCGCGGAAUUCCCGGUGUAGAGGUGAAAUUCGUAGAUAUCGGGAGGAACACCGGUGGCGAAGGCGGCGAGCUGGUCCAUUACUGACGCUGAGGCGCGACAGCGUGGGGAGCAAACAGG
This 253-nucleotide ribosomal RNA is filed under the name uncultured bacterium. RNAcentral's name for it is "partial 16S ribosomal RNA". It matches the Rfam family "Bacterial small subunit ribosomal RNA", at positions 524 to 776 of the family's 1533-position model. The record is from RNAcentral.